CAAGUCGAGCGAGAAGACGUAGCAAUACGUUUGUAAAGCGGCGAACGGGUGAGGAAUACAUGGGUAACCUACCCUCGAGUGGGGAAUAACUAGCCGAAAGGUUAGCUAAUACCGCGUACGCUUCUUGGACUUCGGUUCAGGGAGGAAAGCGAUAUCGUGGGUAUCGCGCUCUUGGAUGGGCUCAUGUCCUAUCAGCUUGUUGGUGAGGUAACGGCUCACCAAGGCAUCGACGGGUAGCUGGUCUGAGAGGACGAUCAGCCACACUGGCACUGCGACACGGGCCAGACUCCUACGGGAGGCAGCAGUAAGGAAUAUUGCGCAAUGGGCGAAAGCCUGACGCAGCGACGCCGCGUGGGGGAUGAAGGUCUUCGGAUUGUAAACCCCUUUCGGGAGGGAAGAUGGAAUGGGGUAACCCAUUUGGACGGUACCUCCAGAAGCAGCCACGGCUAACUUCGUGCCAGCAGCCGCGGUAAUACGAAGGUGGCAAGCGUUAUUCGGAUUUACUGGGCGUACAGGGAGCGUAGGCGGUUCGGUAAGCCCUCUGUGAAAUCUUCAGGCUUAACCUGGAAAAGUCGGAGGGGACUGCUGGGCUAGAGGACGGGAGAGGAGCGCGGAAUUCCCGGUGUAGCGGUGAAAUGCGUAGAGAUCGGGAGGAAGGCCGGUGGCGAAGGCGGCGCUCUGGAACGUUUCUGACGCUGAGGCUCGAAAGCGUGGGGAGCAAACAGGAUUAGAUACCCUGGUAGUCCACGCCUUAAACUAUGAAUACUAAGUGUCGGCGGUUUACCGCCGGUGCCGCAGCUAACGCAUUAAGUAUUCCGCCUGGGAA
RNAcentral lists this ribosomal RNA (826 nucleotides) under uncultured Nitrospiraceae bacterium. RNAcentral's name for it is "bacterial SSU rRNA". It matches the Rfam family "Bacterial small subunit ribosomal RNA", at positions 58 to 879 of the family's 1533-position model. The record is from RNAcentral. Lineage: Bacteria; Pseudomonadati; Nitrospirota; Nitrospiria; Nitrospirales; Nitrospiraceae.